AAAUAACAUUACCUUUAGUUUGUAAUUAGCAUUUAAUCUAAAUUUAAAUGAUUUUCUCUAUUGAUAUAUAUGAUAAACACCAUGAGUUUCUCUUUUUGUAGAUGGAACAUGUCUUGGAUAAAAACCGUCCUCCAGGAGAUCUUGGAUGGAAUCCACCGUAAGAAUUCUUAGUCCAAUGUAAUGUAAAGAACAUAGAAUGUAACACAACAUCUGAAGAGUGUUUCUUUUUGUUAUUUCAGAUUGGGAACGCUUGUCUAAAAGUUGUGGAGGAAGCUGCACAGACGUGUAAUUUGUCAUCCUGUUACAUCUUCUCUUUGGUUCUAGACAUGAUGGUGGUUGUGUGUUCAUGUCUGUGUGUGUCUGUUUCCUUUAGGGGAAAAUGUCGACAUCGCUGAGCUUUAUGAAGGAUCCUCAAGUUUACCUACUGCUCUCCUUGCUGGUACUAUUUUGAUUGUUGUUUUUUUUUCUCCUGUGUGUACAUGUUUACUAAUUUGUAUCAAUCCCUGUAAGAAACCUUCAGGUCAGAGGUCAUGCUGAUGUUUCCAUCUUGGAGCAGACAGACAGGUCAAGCUGAUCACUACCUGCUUUGUCAGGAGGAUAGCAGCUCUGAUUUACCCUGGACCCUGGCUGGAGAACACAGGAAGAGAUCUUGAGGUAUGUUGUCAGCACAAACUUUUGAAAGCUCGUUGUUCACAAUAAUGCAAUUAAAUCUAGCAGGUGCAUGUCAGCUCUUUAUUUAAGUGUUCACUUUUCUUUUGUUAGAUCUUUCCCAAGCAGAUGUCCAGCAAUUGCUGCGGCAUUUUCAUGCUGAUGUAUGCUCUCUCCAUCUGCACAUCGUCGGAAAUGACAUUCACUGAAGUAAGUUUUUUCAAAAAGGACAACCAAAAUACCUGAGCCAGUUUUCAGUUCUGUUGAAGAUUAUAUUUUCUUUUCCUUAAGGGGGACAUGCCGGCAAUUCGGCUGUGGUGGUGUCUUCAGUCGAUGGAGAGAUUUUGCACUGACGGGCAUGGACAUAGAUUUGCGUUUUGGACGGAAGAAGCAUCUCUGCUUCUUCAGGGAACUCUCCAGCCAGUAUUCAGAGUUCGAAAGGCAACCACCUCCAAACC
RNAcentral lists this long non-coding RNA (1106 nucleotides) under Oryzias javanicus (javanese ricefish). RNAcentral describes it as "lncRNA (ENSOJAG00000004112.1)". The record is from RNAcentral. Lineage: Eukaryota; Metazoa; Chordata; Actinopteri; Beloniformes; Adrianichthyidae.